UUGUCAGAAGGUCUCUAUUGAAAGUCUUCAUUUCGCUAAUGCAGGAAAUGAGGCAGUUGAAGACCAGACUACUGAUAAUUCAUCAAAUGAGGAUAUCAGUGAUGAAAAUGGCAAUAGUGAAGAUGAUGAUACAAGUAAUACAGUUGUGGAAGAUCAACAACCAGAAGUUUGGGAAGAUGUGUCUCCUGAACAACUGAUAUCUGAUCUGAACUGUUGUGAUCCAGAUAGCCAUCCAUGUCCAGAACCACAGUCCAAAGACACUAAUGUUCAAAAAGCAACUAAUCUUUUGAAAUCGUUUGUUUAUUUUAUUCUUUUGUGGCAGUCAUUUUGCAAAUUAAGUGAUAAUGGAUUGGAAUGGUUUCUUCAAUUUCAUUCUCAGUUUUUUAAGGCACUUGCAAAUAUAUGUGGUAAUU
Molecule: long non-coding RNA, 413 nt
Organism: Exaiptasia diaphana
Lineage: Eukaryota; Metazoa; Cnidaria; Anthozoa; Actiniaria; Aiptasiidae
Exons: 3
Source: RefSeq, a predicted model, not a curated record